RNAcentral lists this ribosomal RNA (223 nucleotides) under Klebsiella pneumoniae. Its description in RNAcentral is "partial 16S ribosomal RNA". It matches the Rfam family "Bacterial small subunit ribosomal RNA", at positions 360 to 575 of the family's 1533-position model. The record is from RNAcentral. Lineage: Bacteria; Pseudomonadati; Pseudomonadota; Gammaproteobacteria; Enterobacterales; Enterobacteriaceae.
AAUAUUGCACAAUGGGCGCAAGCCUGAUGCAGCCAUGCCGCGUGUGUGAAGAAGGCCUUCGGGUUGUAAAGCACUUUCAGCGGGGAGGAAGGCGUUAAGGUUAAUAACCUUAGCGAUUGACGUUACCCGCAGAAGAAGCACCGGCUAACUCCGUGCCAGCAGCCGCGGUAAUACGGAGGGUGCAAGCGUUAAUCGGAAUUACUGGGCGUAAAGCGCACGCAGG